AGCAGCCGCGGUAAUUCCAGCUCCAAUAGCGUAUAUUAAAGUUGUUGCAGUUAAAAAGCUCGUAGUUGAAUUUCGGGAUUAGUAGUCUGGUCGUGCCACUGGUAUGUACUGGUCUUACUGAUUUCUCCUUCCUGAAGAACUGUAAUGUCAUUAAUUUGGUGUUGCGGGGAAUCUGGACUGUUACUUUGAAAAAAUUAGAGUGUUUAAAGCAGGCUAACGCUUGAAUACAUUAGCAUGGAAUAAUGAAAUAGGACGAUCGAUCCUAUUUUGUUGGUUUCUAGGAUUGACGUA
Molecule: ribosomal RNA, 291 nt
Filed under: uncultured Glomeraceae
Lineage: Eukaryota; Fungi; Glomeromycota; Glomeromycetes; Glomerales; Glomeraceae
Description: partial small subunit ribosomal RNA
Rfam family: Eukaryotic small subunit ribosomal RNA
Source: RNAcentral